GCGGCGUCUUCCUCCUCUGCGCCCUCGGCCCCUCUUGCCCUGUGCACCACUCUUGCUCGUCCGCCCCUCCCUCGUCGCGUUCCCGAGCCUCCCCGUGACCGCUGAGCUUGCUAGAGCUUUGGCCGAGCUUGAGCGGCGGCAACCGGCUUGGCCUCCCUCGCCCCUCCUAUAUAUAGCCCUCCUCACGGCCUCCCGAGCUCACAAUCAACCUGACCACACUCCUCUGACCCCGCCCCACCUCUUUCCCGAGCACCGGAGCCCUCUGCUCGUCCUCCGUCCGCCAUGGCCGCCGCGGUGCUCCGGCUAAAUUCGGAUGAGCCGAGCCCCCUCACUCCAUUCUGCCGCCACCAUCCUCUUCCCCACUCCUCGGUGCACCUCUUCCACCCCUCGCCCGCUCGCCGGAGUAGCGGAAGCCUUCGUCUUCAAGUCCAACUGCCGCCGGCGCCGCCUCUGUUCCCCUCUCCUCGCGGUCGUCCCACCCCUCCCCGGUGCCGGCUGACCUUGGGGACGGGUGCGGCCGGUCCUCCCGAGCCCACCGGUGGCGUCACCCUCGCCGGAGACGGCCGGAGCUGGCCGGCCCAUCGCCGGUGACGCGACCUCCCCUGCCUCCUCUGUUCCGUGCAGGAGCAGGAUGAGGAAGAAGAAGACAGAGGCCAGGUGGGCCCUCUUCUCCUCGCGGGCCCCGCGUGGCAGCCUCAGCUCCGUUGACCCAGCAAGGAAUACGUUUUCCAGAGGAGAAGGCGUAUUCCUGAGAUGUGCACGUUCUGUUUUUCCGGCUGAGGGCCUGUUUGUGAUGAUUUUAUUACAGAUAGGUCCCUAGUAGAAAAACAACUAUAACUUUUCAACCACAACUCCGAAUGAGCCCCUCCGAGAGAGAAUGUUUUCUGGCCAAUCUUUCCGUGAUCGUUUCACACUGCUUCCCAGAGUAUUCUCCAUCCCCAGGCAAGCCACAACCACCAUUUGCAUGAUAGCCAUGAAGUAGCAUUGGUUUUUAACUUGAAUCUUUAAUAACUGUAUGUUUGUUUUGCUACUGCUGUCGUUAUUUCGGUUAUGUUUAUGGACCGGUGGUUACCGUCUUGCUAUGUUUUCUUACACUCUGUUAUCAUGUUCUACUUGCUAGUAUUACUUUCAUAUUGUUCAUGCUUGAUAGCAGUACAUGUUGGGUUGUUCAUGUUCUUCGGUGCAUGACUGACGUUGGUUACCGAGUACCGUUAAUAUGUAUUGUUCCUUGUUGUCAGUUAGUUAAGUGUUUACUCGGUUAUAUGAUUGAUGUGUUCUUGCAUGGUACUUAUUGUUGAUGAUAAUGGUCAUGUUAUGCUAUGAGUAGUGUUGUACUUGUAAUAUUAAUGCUCAUCAUUAUGCCAUGCUCAGUUGGAUAUGAUUCAUU
Molecule: long non-coding RNA, 1387 nt
Organism: Triticum aestivum (bread wheat)
Lineage: Eukaryota; Viridiplantae; Streptophyta; Magnoliopsida; Poales; Poaceae
Exons: 3
Source: RefSeq, a predicted model, not a curated record